This 402-nucleotide ribosomal RNA is filed under the name uncultured bacterium. Its description in RNAcentral is "bacterial SSU rRNA". It matches the Rfam family "Bacterial small subunit ribosomal RNA", at positions 355 to 774 of the family's 1533-position model. The record is from RNAcentral.
UGGGGAAUCUUGCGCAAUGGGCGAAAGCCUGACGCAGCCAUGCCGCGUGAAUGAUGAAGGUCUUAGGAUUGUAAAAUUCUUUCACCGGGGACGAUAAUGACGGUACUCGGAGAAGAAGCCCCGGCUAACUUCGUGCCAGCAGCCGCGGUAAUACGAAGGGGGCUAGCGUUGCUCGGAAUUACUGGGCGUAAAGGGCGCGUAGGCGGUAAGAUAAGUCAGAUGUGAAAGCCUUGGGCUUAACCUGAGAACUGCAUUUGAUACUGUCUAACUAGAGGACGAGAGAGGAAAGUGGAAUUACGAGUGUAGAGGUGAAAUUCGUAGAUAUUCGUAAGAACACCAGUGGCGAAGGCGACUUUCUGGCUCGUUUCUGACGCUAAGGCGCGAAAGCGUGGGGAGCAAACA